AAGCGGAGGAAAAGAAACCAACAGGGAUUGCCCUAGUAACGGCGAGUGAAGCGGCAACAGCUCAAAUUUGAAAUCUGGCCUUUCGGGUCCGAGUUGUAAUUUGUAGAGGAUGCUUUUGGUGCGGUACCUUCCGAGUUCCUUGGAACAGGACGCCUUAGAGGGUGAGAGCCCCGUACGGUUGGAUACCAAGCCUCUGUAAAGCUCCUUCGACGAGUCGAGUAGUUUGGGAAUGCUGCUCUAAAUGGGAGGUAAAUUUCUUCUAAAGCUAAAUACCGGCCAGAGACCGAUAGCGCACAAGUAGAGUGAUCGAAAGAUGAAAAGUACUUUGAAAAGAGGGUUAAAUAGCACGUGAAAUUGUUGAAAGGGAAGCGUUUAUGACCAGACCUUUGUCUGGCGGAUCAUCUGGUGUUCUCACCGGUGCACUUCGCCAGGCUCAGGCCAGCAUCGGUUUCUGUAGGGGGACAAAGGCCCCGGGAACGUAGCUCUCUACGGGGAGUGUUAUAGCCCGGGGCGCAAUACCUCUGCGGGGACCGAGGUUCGCGCUUCUGCAAGGAUGCUGGCGUAAUGGUCAUCAACGACCCGUCUUGAAACACGGACCAAGGAGUCGAACAUUUAUGCGAGUGUUUGGGUGUCAAACCCUCACGCGUAAUGAAAGUGAACGGAGGUGAGAGCCCGUACGGGUGCAUCAUCGACCGAUCCUGAUGUCUUCGGAUGGAUUUGAGUAAGAGCAUAACUGUUCGGACCCGAAAGAUGGUGAACUAUGCGUGGAUAGGGUGAAGCCAGAGGAAACUCUGGUGGAGGCUCGCAGCGGUUCUGACGUGCAAAUCGAUCGUCAAAUCUGCGCAU
RNAcentral lists this ribosomal RNA (846 nucleotides) under Stromatolinea linearis. Its description in RNAcentral is "eukaryotic LSU rRNA". It matches the Rfam family "Eukaryotic large subunit ribosomal RNA", at positions 48 to 918 of the family's 3401-position model. The record is from RNAcentral. Lineage: Eukaryota; Fungi; Ascomycota; Sordariomycetes; Xylariales; Diatrypaceae.